GCUACGGGGAGCAGCAGUCGAGAAUCAUUCACAAUGGGGGAAACCCUGAUGGGGCGACGCCGCGUGGGGGAAUGAAGGUCUGCGGAUUGUAAACCCCUGUCAUGUGGGAGCAAAUUAAAAAGAUAGUACCACAAGAGGAAGAGACGGCUAACGCUGUGCCAGCAGCCGCGGUAAUACAGAGGUCUCAAGCGUGGUUCGGAAGCACUGGGCGUAAAGCGUGCGUAGGCUGUUUCGUAAGUCGUGUGUGAAAGGCGCGGGCUCAACCCGCGGACGGCACCUGAUACUGCGAGACUAGAGUACUGGAGAGGGAACCGGAAUUCUCGGUGUAGCCGUGAACUGCGUAGAUAUCGCGAGGAACACUCGUGGCGAAGGCGGGUUCCUGGACAUUAACUGACGCUGAGGCACGAAAGCCAGGGGAGCGAACAGGAUUAGAUACCCGAGUAGUC
RNAcentral lists this ribosomal RNA (446 nucleotides) under uncultured bacterium. Its description in RNAcentral is "partial 16S ribosomal RNA". It matches the Rfam family "Bacterial small subunit ribosomal RNA", at positions 338 to 795 of the family's 1533-position model. The record is from RNAcentral.